RNAcentral lists this non-coding RNA (23 nucleotides) under Cricetulus griseus (Chinese hamster). The record is from RNAcentral. Lineage: Eukaryota; Metazoa; Chordata; Mammalia; Rodentia; Cricetidae.
AAGGAGAGAGAAUUCACAGAACU